RNAcentral lists this ribosomal RNA (370 nucleotides) under Acinetobacter endosymbiont of Culex pipiens. RNAcentral describes it as "bacterial SSU rRNA". It matches the Rfam family "Bacterial small subunit ribosomal RNA", at positions 480 to 849 of the family's 1533-position model. Lineage: Bacteria; Pseudomonadati; Pseudomonadota; Gammaproteobacteria; Moraxellales; Moraxellaceae. The record is from RNAcentral.
ACGCAGAUAAGCACCGGCUAACUCUGUGCCAGCAGCCGCGGUAAUACAGAGGGUGCGAGCGUUAAUCGGAUUUACUGGGCGUAAAGCGUGCGUAGGCGGCUGAUUAAGUCGGAUGUGAAAUCCCUGAGCUUAACUUAGGAAUUGCAUUCGAUACUGGUCAGCUAGAGUAUGGGAGAGGAUGGUAGAAUUCCAGGUGUAGCGGUGAAAUGCGUAGAGAUCUGGAGGAAUACCGAUGGCGAAGGCAGCCAUCUGGCCUAAUACUGACGCUGAGGUACGAAAGCAUGGGGAGCAAACAGGAUUAGAUACCCUGGUAGUCCAUGCCGUAAACGAUGUCUACUAGCCGUUGGGGCCUUUGAGGCUUUAGUGGCGC